Molecule: long non-coding RNA, 418 nt
Organism: Gopherus agassizii (Agassiz's desert tortoise)
Lineage: Eukaryota; Metazoa; Chordata; Testudines; Testudinidae
Source: Ensembl
CUAAGACCUGUGGCCAGAACCCAGGCUGAGGUUCAACUGGAAAUGCGCAGGCAGCCCCAGCCCUGCCACUGGGAGGAGACGAGUGAAUUGCUCAGCCCCGGGAGCUUCCUGCUGCCCUGACCAUGCAUUUCUAUUGCAGGCUCAGCAGCUCAGUCCCUGAGGAUUUCUCUGCUCCCCUGGAGCUCCCACAGCAGCACUUCGGCCUGGUAGAUGAUUAUGGCAUUAAGCCGAAGCACCCCCAGUUCCAGACUCGAGCACCCUGGAAGCAGCCUGCAGGCCUGCACCAAGCACACAAGAGCAAGCGGGAUGAGUCAGAUUUGGCAGAGUAUUAUUAUGACAACGUCCUGUGAGCUGCCCAGGCACUUGUUGCAGUGGGGUCUCGAUGAGCCCCAUGGGCAGCUCUGGCCCUGUGCAUUAG